UGGAAAAGGAUGUGGGAUUUCGAAGACAGCUAGGAUGUUGGCUUAGAAGCAGCCACACAUUCAAAGAGUGCGUAAUAGCUCACUAGUCGAGAGGUCCUGCGCCGAAAAUUAACGGGGCUAAAACAUGACACCGAAGCUUAGGGAUGGUGUAAACCAUCGGUAGAGGAGCAUUGAAAACGAGAUGAAGCGGUACCGAAAGGAGCCGUGGAUUGUUUUGAAGAGAGAAUGCCGGAAUGAGUAGCGAGAUGGAGGUGAGAAUCCUCCAGGCCGAAUAUCUAAGGUUUCCAGGGUAAAGCUGAUCUGCCCUGGGUAAGUCGGGGCCUAAGGCGAGGCGGAGACGCGUAGUCGAUGGACAACUGGUGUAGAUUCCAGUACCUUACUAAAUCAGAAAUGUGGGGACACAUGGAGAAAGAGAGAGCCGGGAAUGAGAAGACCGGUGCAAGGGAGGUAGGAGUGUAGUAGGAAAAGCCGCUGCACAAUCUGAAGACCUGAUGCGGAUCGAAGUUUAGUAGAGAAGCUCUUGGACUCUGUGUCGAGAAAAGCCGCUAUAGUGUUUAGUAAGCCCGUACCGCAAACCGACACAGGUAGAUGAGGAGAGAAUCCUAAGGCCGGCGGGAGAAGCAUUGUUAAGGAACUCGGCAAAAUGACCCCGUAACUUCGGGAGAAGGGGUGCCACUUUAAUAGAGUGGUCGCAGAAAAAAGGCUCAAGCAACUGUUUAGCAAAAACACAGGUCUAUGCGAAACCGUAAGGUGAGGUAUAUGGGCUGACGCCUGCCCGGUGCUGGAAGGUUAAGAGGAGAGGUUAGCGCAAGCGAAGCUUUGAAUUGAAGCCCCAGUAAACGGCGGCCGUAACUAUAACGGUCCUAAGGUAGCGAAAUUCCUUGUCGGGUAAGUUCCGACCCGCACGAAAGGCGUAAUGAUUUGAGCGCUGUCUCAACAAUGCACCCGGUGAAAUUGAAGUACCAGUGAAGAUGCUGGUUACCCGCGCCAGGACGGAAAGACCCCAUGGAGCUUUACUCCAGCUUGAUACUGGGAUUCGGUAAUGUAUGCACAGGAUAGGUGGGAGACUGAGAAGAUAGUACUUCGGUAUUAUCAGAGUCGCUGUUGGGAUACCACCCUUAUGUUAUUGGAUUUCUAACCUUAGGCCGUAAGCCGGUCAAGGGACAAUGUCAGGUGGGGAGUUUGACUGGGGCGGUCGCCUCCGAAAGUGUAUCGGAGGCGCUCAAAGGUUCCCUCAGGAUGGUUGGAAACCAUCCAAAGAGUGUAAAGGCAUAAGGGAGCCUGACUGCGAGGCUGACGGGCCAAGCAGAGUAGAAAUACGGACUUAGUGAUCCGGUGGUAUGAAAGUGGGAUUGCCAUCGCUCAACGGAUAAAAGCUACCCUGGGGAUAACAGGCUGAUCUCCCCCAAGAGUUCACAUCGACGGGGAGGUUUGGCACCUCGAUGUCGGCUC
Molecule: ribosomal RNA, 1452 nt
Filed under: human metagenome
Description: bacterial LSU rRNA
Rfam family: Bacterial large subunit ribosomal RNA
Source: RNAcentral